CUCAACCUGGGAACUGCAUUCGAAACUGGCAGGCUUGAGUCUUGUAGAGGGGGGUAGAAUUCCAGGUGUAGCGGUGAAAUGCGUAGAGAUCUGGAGGAAUACCGGUGGCGAAGGCGGCCCCCUGGACAAAGACUGACGCUCAGGUGCGAAAGCGUGGGGAGCAAACAGGAUUAGAUCCCCUGGUAGUCCACGCCGUAAACGAUGUCUACUUGGAGGUUGUGCCCUUGAGGCGUGGCUUCCGGAGCUAACGCGUUAAGUAGACCGCCUGGGGAGUACGGCCGCAAGGUUAAAACUCAAAUGAAUUGACGGGGGCCCGCACAAGCGGUGGAGCAUGUGGUUUAAUUCGAUGCAAC
This 353-nucleotide ribosomal RNA is filed under the name Salmonella enterica subsp. enterica serovar Newport. Its description in RNAcentral is "bacterial SSU rRNA". It matches the Rfam family "Bacterial small subunit ribosomal RNA", at positions 608 to 960 of the family's 1533-position model. Lineage: Bacteria; Pseudomonadati; Pseudomonadota; Gammaproteobacteria; Enterobacterales; Enterobacteriaceae. The record is from RNAcentral. RNAcentral also lists the same sequence under 1 other name.